AAAAAUAAUAUGACACAUCUUCGUUCAUGUCUUGUUUAAUGUAUGCGGUGGAAGUUGAAAUCAAAAGAUAAUCCUUUAUUAACGACAAUUCUGUGAAUAACGCAAUGUAAAUCAGGUUUCCAGGCCUUGCAAUAAAACAAAUAACGUCGUUUUAUUGUACGUUGUUUCUAUGCGGCAGCGUAUUCAAUACAAGAAUUCGGUACACUCAAAGAUGUCAGAAGUAAUAAAUACGAAUAUCG
Long non-coding RNA from Bradysia coprophila, 239 nucleotides. The record is from RefSeq and is a predicted model, not a curated record. NCBI's taxonomy places the organism in Eukaryota, Metazoa, Arthropoda, Insecta, Diptera, Sciaridae.